This 1351-nucleotide long non-coding RNA is filed under the name Citrus sinensis (sweet orange). RNAcentral describes it as "long non-coding RNA (CSIN_LNC001513)". Lineage: Eukaryota; Viridiplantae; Streptophyta; Magnoliopsida; Sapindales; Rutaceae. The record is from RNAcentral.
UCUGUUGCAGAAAAUUCAAGAAAGCACAUAAGAAAAAUAAAAAAAUAAUCAAAAAGAGAAAACCAGGACUGCUAAAUUUAAACUUGAAAGCUCAAAAGAAAAACAUCAAACGAUUUCUUAAUAGAAUCAUGCAAUGCAACCAAAUAGCUUGAAUUUAAAACAUGAAUAUCGAAAUAUUUGCCCAUUGGUCUUUGGCACACUGCUGCAAAGCCUAGAGCAGCCAAGCGUACCAACAAAAUUUAGCAUAUCUUACCAUCAAGCAGGUCCCAGCACGAACAUUACAGAUGGGAUAGUCAUGUGGGCAGCAGCUAUAGUGGUCAUCACAGCAGGUGGCAGCCUCAAGCGGGCAGCAUCCCCAUGCAAAGCAAGAGUUACCAUACUCAAAGACACAGCAGCAAGUGUUGCUCUCAGGGCAAGAGUAAUAAUUGUCACACACAGCAGGAGGCUUUGUUGGAGAUGGAGGGGACGGUCCAGGGUUGGGAGGAUUUUGGCCUUUCUUUAUGGGAUAUGAGGCCUCCAUGGCAAUUCCACACUUGCCCGUGAGAGUGCCAGCCACGUUACGCUCCAUCCUAAUAUAGCCAGCCUCUCCCCAGCUACUGCCCCAUGAAUUCUUCACAAUCCAGUAAUCAGCUCCAUUUUCUGUGCCAUAUCCAACAGCAGUAACACCAUGGUCCAGAGAUGUCCCACAUCUUCCCGUAAAUAUACCCUGAAAAUUUGCAAAGACAGAAAAAUAUACUUGAGACUUCCUUAAAACAGAUCAGACACACACAAGACUCUUCCUGAUCCUGUUUAGAAACCAUUAGAAAUACAAUAAUUUUUGUUCAAAUACCAUCCAGUAUUGUCUCAACCAUAUCUUUUCAGAACUGCAAAAUGCAAAUACUUUGUAUCUAGAUAAUAGCAACAUCCCUAAAUCUAAAAUGUGACAAGUGCCAUGAAGAGAUGAAAGUUACCGAUUCAUAUAACUGGAAUGCCAUGCCACCUCCUUCAAUGGCAACACUCACGGGUUGAUUUGCAACUGCCUUUUGCAAAGCUUUCUCGUCAUUUAGGGGAACAUCUUCAUAGUCAUCAAUUGUAACUACUUUGGCAUUUUUCUGACAAAGCCAAAAACCAAAGGCUUAGAAUGAUCCUCCAUUAUAUAGUAUGGCAUUUCUUCGUAAAACAAUAGAGUAAAAAUACCUACCCGAUAUGUGUCACAGCUACCAUCAAUGGCUUUGUAGGGGUAAUCUUCUUCUGUGUCAAUACCUCCAUUAUCAAUAAUGAACUCGAAUGCAUAGUCCAUCAAACCACCAUUACAUCCUUCAUUAUAUGAUGUAUCACAAUCCACCAACUCCUGCUCGGAUAGUGAGAUCAG